RNAcentral lists this ribosomal RNA (252 nucleotides) under uncultured bacterium. RNAcentral's name for it is "partial 16S ribosomal RNA". It matches the Rfam family "Bacterial small subunit ribosomal RNA", at positions 524 to 776 of the family's 1533-position model. The record is from RNAcentral.
UACGGGGGGGGCAAGCGUUGUUCGGAAUUACUGGGCGUAAAGGCUCGUAGGCGGCCAACUAAGUCAGACGUGAAAUCCCCAGGCUCAACCUGGGAACUGCGUCUGAUACUGGAUGGCUUGAAUCCGGGAGAGGGAUGCAGAAUUCCAGGUGUAGCGGUGAAAUGCGUAGAUAUCUGGAGGAAUACCGGUGGCGAAGGCGGCAUCCUGGACCGGCAUUGACGCUGAGGAGCGAAAGCCAGGGGAGCAAACGGG